GCCUGGGUGGCUCAGUCAGUAAAGCAUCUGACUUCAGCUUAGGUCAUGAUCUCACAGUUUGUGGGUUCAAACCCCACAUCAGGCA
RNAcentral lists this transfer RNA (85 nucleotides) under Felis catus (domestic cat). It matches the Rfam family "tRNA". Rfam says of the family: Transfer RNA (tRNA) molecules are approximately 80 nucleotides in length. Lineage: Eukaryota; Metazoa; Chordata; Mammalia; Carnivora; Felidae. The record is from Rfam by way of RNAcentral.